This 426-nucleotide ribosomal RNA is filed under the name Triticum aestivum (bread wheat). Its description in RNAcentral is "partial small subunit ribosomal RNA". Lineage: Eukaryota; Viridiplantae; Streptophyta; Magnoliopsida; Poales; Poaceae. The record is from RNAcentral.
AUGGGCUCUUCCGCUCUCCUUUUCCUAGUGGAGCGAUGGCAUCGUCCGAAACACAAGGAUUCAUCAGAAUCGGCAAUGGCAGCCACUCUUCCUGUAGGUUUCUUUGUGUACAUUGAACUUUUCCUCUUUGUAGGUUCCCUCCACGCGUGCCACAAUUUUGCUCGUGGCGGGGGACGAUGGGAGGAGCGCCGGCGGGCUAGGGAUGACGAGGGGGAGCGUCGCCGCGGCCGCAGACAGAGGAAAAGACGAAAAAAUAAAGAAAAAAAAUCUCGGCGGAAUUGGGCUGGCGUAGGUUGGCAGGGCGAUCGCCGGAGGCAAGGAACACGGCGGGUGGCACCGACAGGCGAACGAGUGAAAGGGCUAACAUGGGAAAGGACGGAAAUUACCCCGAGAAGUUGCCGCAGAGGAGUAAAUAUAAGCGAUUAA